Hyla sarda is the source of this 734-nucleotide long non-coding RNA. RefSeq lists it as uncharacterized. The transcript is spliced from 6 exons. NCBI's taxonomy places the organism in Eukaryota, Metazoa, Chordata, Amphibia, Anura, Hylidae. The record is from RefSeq and is a predicted model, not a curated record.
CUCACGUCUAAGCACAGCAGCUCAGCAUGUCGGAGUUCACUGUGCCACCGAGCAGUGUGCCCGCCGCCCUGCUCUCUCUCCUACAGGCCUUGCUUGUCCUCAGGACAGGCGUAGGACAGAGCACUGAGCAGUCAUGCAGUCACUGGGAUAACAGGCUACAGGGCUUCAGGCCGGGCCUUUAGAUAUUGUGGCUUACAUGUUAUGCAUGUGGAUAAAAGAAAGCAUCCUACAGUGGACAUUUCAGCUCAACUACUGGGCCUGACGAAGCGCUUAGUGCUCUAUACGGACCGUCGCCCAACCCACUCCCCCACCUUGCUCCACCUGUUCGCUCUCCCAUUCAUGUGGGAACGCUGCUGGCUGACAUGCAAUAAAGAAGCUUGCGAUUCCCAAAAAAAGACCUGGAAUAGGCACUGCUUGGAAUAAACUCAAAGGUGCUGGGAAUGAAUUAUCUGCUGCCAAGCAAGAUUCACAGCAGUGAAAAAUCCAUAAAAACAACAUAAAACUGUAAAAUGCUAGGCCGUGUUGUGGUACUGUACAGCAUGAAAAACUUUCAAUGUUUUCUUUGUGGUGGUUUUUAUGCAUGAAUAAUGCAGGAUCCAGACUUUAGAAGAUAGACUAUCGCUGAACCAAGAGAGAAUCAAAAAUAGCAUACAAAAAGAAAAAUAAAGAUGUGGGAGACUCAGCAAGUGACAGUAUGGUGUGCCCUCUACGACUUAAUAUCUGGGAUUGAAGAU